Molecule: long non-coding RNA, 648 nt
Organism: Osmerus eperlanus (European smelt)
Lineage: Eukaryota; Metazoa; Chordata; Actinopteri; Osmeriformes; Osmeridae
Exons: 3
Source: RefSeq, a predicted model, not a curated record
UUUCGAAUUCUGGUGGAGGCAAAUAGCAGAAAAUGAGACCACAAACUUUCGGAACUUUUGAAGCAUGUACCAGACAUUUGUCUUCAGAUGACCAGGAUUCUAUACAGACUGUUCUAACCAGGUUGGAGAUCAUGGCGACGAGCGUUCGCUGGAGCAGAGGGCGACUGCUUCAAUCUGAAGUGGUUGAUGAAAUGCUUUUGCUCAGCGAGUUAAUUCGGGAAGCCAACGAUCAGCAACAACAACGUGGUAAUGUACUCGUCAUAUUUAAACAUGAUCUGAAGAAGCAAGAUUCAAAACACGAUGCCUCUAACAUUUUUCUCUUGAACUGCAGUUGCUCCUGGUUUCACCUUACCUCGAAUGGGAGGACAGACUGGAGGAAGGCCGGUUUACCAAAUCGCCCAAGAGCAGUUGCAGAUGUUGUUGUCCUAACUUCUCUGCUAAACAGAUUGCGGAGAUCUUGGGUGUCUCAAGAAGAACAGUGAACCGACGGUUAAGACAGUACAUACAAUUUCUCUUUUAGAGGUCGCUACACAGACCAGAUGAUGCACUUGAUCUGAAGGUGCUGCUAUUCAGAGUAUGUCCCACAGGCUUAGGAGGAGAACAUAUCGAGUGGCAGGGUCAAAUUCGCUGUGGCAUCUUGAUGGCAAC